CCUACGGGGCGCAGCAGUGAGGAAUAUUGGUCAAUGGGCGGGAGCCUGAACCAGCCAAGUCGCGUGAGGGAAGACGGUCCUAUGGAUUGUAAACCUCUUUAGGCGGGGAGCAAUGCCGGGCACGUGUGCCCGGAGGGAGAGUACCCGCAGAAUAAGCAUCGGCUAACUCCGUGCCAGCAGCCGCGGUAAUACGGAGGAUGCGAGCGUUAUCCGGAUUUAUUGGGUUUAAAGGGUGCGUAGGCGGAUCGUUAAGUCAGUGGUCAAAUUGAGGGGCUCAACCCCUUCCCGCCAUUGAAACUGGCGCU
Molecule: ribosomal RNA, 305 nt
Filed under: uncultured bacterium
Lineage: Bacteria
Description: bacterial SSU rRNA
Rfam family: Bacterial small subunit ribosomal RNA
Source: RNAcentral